RNAcentral lists this ribosomal RNA (497 nucleotides) under uncultured bacterium. RNAcentral describes it as "partial 16S ribosomal RNA". It matches the Rfam family "Bacterial small subunit ribosomal RNA", at positions 28 to 507 of the family's 1533-position model. The record is from RNAcentral.
GAUGAACGCUGGCGGCGUGCCUAAUACAUGCAAGUCGAGCGAACAGACGAGGAGCUUGCUCCUCUGACGUUAGCGGCGGACGGGUGAGUAACACGUGGAUAACCUACCUAUAAGACUGGGAUAACUUCGGGAAACCGGAGCUAAUACCGGAUAAUAUAUUGAACCGCAUGGUUCAAUAGUGAAAGACGGUUUUGCUGUCACUUAUAGAUGGAUCCGCGCCGCAUUAGCUAGUUGGUAAGGUAACGGCUUACCAAGGCAACGAUGCGUAGCCGACCUGAGAGGGUGAUCGGCCACACUGGAACUGAGACACGGUCCAGACUCCUACGGGAGGCAGCAGUAGGGAAUCUUGCGCAAUGGGCGAAAGCCUGACGGAGCAACGCCGCGUGAGUGAUGAAGGUCUUCGGAUCGUAAAGCUCUGUUAUUGGGGAAGAACAAAUGUGUAAGAAAAUAUGCACGUCUUGACGGUACCUAAUGAGAAAGCCACGGCUAACUACGUG